UGAGGAAUAUUGCACAAUGGGCGCAAGCCUGAUGCAGCAACGCCGCGUGCGGGACGAAGGCCUUCGGGUCGUAAACCGCUUUUCUGGGGAAAGAGCAAGGACGGUACCUCAGGAAUAAGUCUCGGCUAACUACGUGCCAGCAGCCGCGGUAAAACGUAGGAGGCGAGCGUUAUCCGGAUUUACUGGGCGUAAAGCGCACGCAGGCGGCUCUGUGAGUCGGACGUGAAAGCUCCCGGCUUAACCGGGAGAGGCCGUUCGAUACUGCGGGGCUUGAGGUAGGGAGAGGAAUGCGGAAUUCCCGGUGUAGUGGUGGAAUGCGUAGAUAUCGGGAGGAACACCUGUGGCGAAAGCGGCAUUCUGGCCCUCACCUGACGCUGAGGUGCGAAAGCGUGGGUAGCAAACAGG
RNAcentral lists this ribosomal RNA (405 nucleotides) under uncultured prokaryote. RNAcentral's name for it is "bacterial SSU rRNA". It matches the Rfam family "Bacterial small subunit ribosomal RNA", at positions 355 to 776 of the family's 1533-position model. RNAcentral also lists the same sequence under 1 other name. The record is from RNAcentral.